AGUGAACGCUGGCGGUAGGCCUAACACAUGCAAGUCGAACGGCAGCACAGUAAGAGCUUGCUCUUACGGGUGGCGAGUGGCGGACGGGUGAGGAAUACAUCGGAAUCUACUUUUUCGUGGGGGAUAACGUAGGGAAACUUACGCUAAUACCGCAUACGACCUACGGGUGAAAGCAGGGGAUCUUCGGACCUUGCGCGAUUGAAUGAGCCGAUGUCGGAUUAGCUAGUUGGCGGGGUAAAGGCCCACCAAGGCGACGAUCCGUAGCUGGUCUGAGAGGAUGAUCGGCCACACUGGAACUGAGACACGGUCCAGACUCCUACGGGAGGCAGCAGUGGGGAAUAUUGGACAAUGGGCGCAAGCCUGAUCCAGCCAUACCGCGUGGGUGAAGAAGGCCUUCGGGUUGUAAAGCCCCUUUUGUUGGGAAAGAAAAGCAGCAGGUUAAUACCCCGCUGUUCUGACGGUACCCAAAGAAUAGCACCGGCUAACUUCGUG
Molecule: ribosomal RNA, 492 nt
Filed under: uncultured bacterium
Lineage: Bacteria
Description: partial 16S ribosomal RNA
Rfam family: Bacterial small subunit ribosomal RNA
Source: RNAcentral